AAUAGAUACCCGGGUAGUCCACCCGUAACGUUGGGAACUAGUUGUGGGGUCCUUUCCACGGAUUCCGUGACGCAGCUAACGCAUUAAGUUCCCCGCCUGGGGAGUACGGCCGCAAGGCUAAAACUCAAAGGAAUUGACGGGGACCCGCACAAGCGGCGGAGCAUGCGGAUUAAUUCGAUGCAACGCGAAGAACCUUACCAAGGCUUGACAUACACGAGAACACCCUAGAAAUAGGGGACUCUUUGGACACUCGUGAACAGGUGGUGCAUGGUUGUCGUCAGCUCGUGUCGUGAGAUGUUGGGUUAAGUCCCGCAACGAGCGCAACCCUCGUUCUAUGUUGCCAGCACGUAAUGGUGGGAACUCAUGGGAUACUGCCGGGGUCAACUCGGAGGAAGGUGGGGAUGACGUCAAAUCAUCAUGCCCCUUAUGUCUUGGGCUUCACGCAUGCUACAAUGGCCGGUACAAGGGCUGCAAUACCGUGAGGUGGAGCGAAUCCCAAAAGCCGGUCCAGUUCGGAUUGAGGUCUGCAACUCGACCUCAUGAA
Molecule: ribosomal RNA, 544 nt
Filed under: uncultured bacterium
Lineage: Bacteria
Description: bacterial SSU rRNA
Rfam family: Bacterial small subunit ribosomal RNA
Source: RNAcentral